This 1524-nucleotide long non-coding RNA is filed under the name Zea mays. RNAcentral describes it as "long non-coding RNA (ZMAY_LNC001664)". The record is from RNAcentral. Lineage: Eukaryota; Viridiplantae; Streptophyta; Magnoliopsida; Poales; Poaceae.
CUGGCGCCCCUUCUCUCUGCCCCAGCAAAUCGACCCUAGUCGCGGUGUAGGUUCGGAACGCGGUGUGACGGCGAAAGGAGGAGAGAGAGAUGUGGAACAGAGAGGAUGUCGCCGCGGGGAUAAAUCACCUACUGUGGCGAGGGAGCCUUGAAUGUUGAUCUGGGAGACUCACUGGGAUCCUGGGAGCGUGGUCGUGAUCUAUCGAAGCCUGGGAACCAGGCUGGGUCGAGCGAUUGCUUGCCGCCGUUGUGCUCCGCCAUGGUCUCGCCACGUGCUGUGGGCGGCCAUGUCCAUGCUUCGUGUCACGGUGAGACCUCAUCUACCUUACUUACCUUUUUCGGUUCUUCGCGUAGUACAACCUGCGAUGGGUUUUGGGGUGCGCGGGGUACAGUACUGCUCCUCUCCGGCGAGUACGCCACCGGGCGAGCGCUGUUCCUCGCGCUGGAUUGCUCCGUCGAUGGCGUGAGGCGUAUCCGCCGUCGAUCAGAGAACGAUAGGGCGCGAUUAGUUUACCUUACUGGCGCGAGGAGGACAAAGUUCGGUCGUUGGAUCGUGGAUGAAGGAUUGGGAUCGAAUCUCGUGCGUAUUAGAUCUGGGAUGUUCAUCCUGAGCCCAACGAUGCAGAUUAGAUCUAGGUUAAUAAGUCCUGACCCUUGGAUUUAGAUCUGAAGGGUAGUUUCGCGUACCGGUUCAUUAAGCGCCCAAUCUAAUAUGCACCAUCGGAUCAAAAUCUAACGGCUCUGGAUGCUUGGUACCCCAUCGCCGAGCCAGUUUCACAGAUGAGCCCCUCGGUUUAUUUGAUAUCAACCCACCAUCCUAUCCUAGUAUAAAGUAAUUACGGUUGGGCCCUAGAAUUUAUAGAAAUGACCCCGAGCUCUCUAGUAUUUGCAUCUGCAUUCCAUUAAUCCCAGAAAUUCAUAAAAUAAGUGUUAAAAAUACAUAGAAACUUGUUUAUUCCAUAACUUAUUCAUUUAACUCUGAUUUGAUCCAUUCAAAUUGUGUUAGCUUUAUAAAAAUAUUUUCUACACAGUGGCAACAUUAAUUGUACCAUAGAACAUAUUUUUAUAAUUAGAUAUUUGUUUAGCCUAUUAUGCCUUUUAACCAAAGUUAAACUAGACCAUGAUAGUGAUUCAAAUAUAAUAUGAUUUCUAAACAAGUUAUAACCUGGAUUAAAGUUUACUUAACUAUUUGGAGUAUAUUUUCUCAUAUGAUGUAUAUUAACCAAUUUAUAAUAUAGUUUAACAUUUAAAUCACAUUUAUCUUCCAUAAAUCAUAACCCCCUUAACCGUAACUCCGAAUUUAGUUGUUCUCGAACCCACGAUCUCGUAGUGACGCGUAGAUUACUAUUAUGCAGUUUGUACUUAUGUAUGGUGUGAUGUAAUUUUGUCUAUAUCAUGUUUGUUUGUAUUGCUACGACUAGCAGCGAGGUCACGAGUCAUCUGAAAAACAAGUUGGUACUUGGAAUCUCAAGCCCCAGGCAAGUUGUGCCCUUGAUCACUUCUUUUACCCAGUCAUGUUCUUAUU